AGGAAAGAAUUUUUUUUAUUUAAACAAUAAAGUUGACUUUUUAGUAAGAAGGCUAAAAUAAGACUUAAAGACAAGAAGACCCUAUAAAACUUUUAUAAUUUUUAUCUUUUUACAGGGGGGAAAUUAUUAGGCUGGGGCGGCAAGGAAAAAGACUUUCCUUAAUUUAGGAAAAAUUAAAAUUUUUAAUAUCCAAGCUUCUUGAAAAAGAAAUAAGUUACUUUAGGGAUAACAGCUUAAUUUACUUCGAAAGUUCUAAUUGACAAGUAAGUUUAUGACCUCGAUGUUGAAUUAAAAUACCUUUACUUGUGUAAAAGCUUUAAAAGGAGGUCUGUUCGACCUAUAAUUUUUUCCA
This 352-nucleotide ribosomal RNA is filed under the name Hottentotta minusalta. RNAcentral's name for it is "partial large subunit ribosomal RNA". The stretch from base 70 to 352 matches the Rfam family "Bacterial large subunit ribosomal RNA", at positions 2079 to 2600 of the family's 2925-position model. The record is from RNAcentral. Lineage: Eukaryota; Metazoa; Arthropoda; Arachnida; Scorpiones; Buthidae.